This 422-nucleotide ribosomal RNA is filed under the name uncultured archaeon. Its description in RNAcentral is "partial 16S ribosomal RNA". It matches the Rfam family "Archaeal small subunit ribosomal RNA", at positions 323 to 741 of the family's 1478-position model. The record is from RNAcentral.
CUACGGGUGGCAGCAGGUGCGAAAACUUUACAAUGCACGAAAGUGCGAUAAGGGAAUCUCAAGUGCUUUACUUUUUGUAAAGCUUUUGUUAAGUGUAAAUAGCUUAGCGAAUAAGUGGUGGGUAAGACCGGUGCCAGCCGCCGCGGUAACACCGGCGCCACAAGUGGUAAUCACGUUUAUUGGGUCUAAAGGGUCCGUAGCUGGUCAGCUAAGUUCUUUGUGAAAUUGUUAGGCUUAACUUAACGAACCGCAAGGAAAACUAUCUGACUAGGAACCGGGAGAAGGCAGAAGUACUUUGGGGGGAGUGGUAAAAUGCUAUAAUCCUCAAAAGACUACCUAUGGCGAAGGCAUCUGUCUAGAACGGGUUUGACAGUGAUGGACGAAAGCUAGGGGAGCGAACUAAGAUAAAUCUAUAUCUUGGG